GAUGAACGCUGGCGGCGUGCCUAAUACAUGCAAGUCGAACGAAUCACUUCGGUGGUUAGUGGCGAACGGGUGAGUAACACGUAGGUAAUCUGCCCUUCAGACGAGGAUAACGGUUGGAAACGACCGCUAAUACUGGAUAGUACAUCUUGUCGCAUGACGGGAUGUUUAAAGUUCCGUGCGGAACACUGAAGGAGGAGCCUGCGGCGCAUUAGUUAGUUGGCGGGGUAACAGCCCACCAAGACAAUGAUGCGUAGCCGGACUGAGAGGUUGAACGGCCACAUUGGGACUGAGACACGGCCCAG
This 302-nucleotide ribosomal RNA is filed under the name uncultured bacterium. Its description in RNAcentral is "bacterial SSU rRNA". It matches the Rfam family "Bacterial small subunit ribosomal RNA", at positions 28 to 334 of the family's 1533-position model. The record is from RNAcentral.